This 253-nucleotide ribosomal RNA is filed under the name uncultured bacterium. RNAcentral describes it as "partial 16S ribosomal RNA". It matches the Rfam family "Bacterial small subunit ribosomal RNA", at positions 524 to 776 of the family's 1533-position model. The record is from RNAcentral.
UACGGAGGGUGCGAGCGUUGUUCGGAAUCACUGGGCGUAAAGCGCGUGUAGGCGGUCUCCUAAGUCUGGUGUGAAAGCCCGGGGCUUACCCCCGGAAGUGCACUGGAAACUGGGAGACUGGAGUACCGGAGAGGAAGGUGGAAUUCCUGGUGUAGCGGUGAAAUGCGUAGAUAUCAGGAGGAACACCGGUGGCGAAGGCGGCCUUCUGGACGGAUACUGACGCUGAGACGCGAAAGCGUGGGGAGCAAACAGG